UGGCGGAAUGCUUUACACAUGCAAGUCGAGCGGCAGCGCGGGGGCAACCCUGGCGGCGAGCGGCGAACGGGUGAGUAACACAUCGGAACGUACCCAGUUGUGGGGGAUAGCCCGGCGAAAGCCGGAUUAAUACCGCAUACGACCUGAGGGUGAAAGGGGGGGAUCGCAAGACCUCUCGCAGUUGGAGCGGCCGAUGGCGGAUUAGCUAGUUGGUGAGGUAAAGGCUCACCAAGGCGACGAUCCGUAGCUGGUCUGAGAGGACGACCAGCCACACUGGAACUGAGACACGGUCCAGACUCCUACGGGAGGCAGCAGUGGGGAAUUUUGGACAAUGGGGGCAACCCUGAUCCAGCCAUUCCGCGUGAGUGAAGAAGGCCUUCGGGUUGUAA
Molecule: ribosomal RNA, 389 nt
Filed under: uncultured bacterium
Lineage: Bacteria
Description: bacterial SSU rRNA
Rfam family: Bacterial small subunit ribosomal RNA
Source: RNAcentral